CCUACGGGAGGCAGCAGUGAGGAAUAUUGGUCAAUGGGCGCGAGCCUGAACCAGCCAAGUAGCGUGAAGGAUGACUGCCCUACGGGUUGUAAACUUCUUUUAUAAAGGAAUAAAGUGAGGCACGUGUGCCUUUUUGUAUGUAUUUAAGAAUAAGGAUCGGGUAACUCCGGGCCAGCAGCCUGCGUAAUUAGGGAGAUCCGAGCGUUAUCCGGAUUUAUUGGGUUUAAAGGGAGCGUAGAUGGGUUGUUAAGUCAGUUGUGAAAGUUUGCGGGUCAAACGUAAAAUUGCAAUUGAUACUGGCAGCCUUGAGUACAGUUGAGGUAGGCGGAAUUCGUGGUGUAGCGGUGAAAUGCUUAGAUAUCACGAAGAACUCCGAUUGCGAAGGCAGCCUACUAAACUGCCACUGACAUUGAUGCUCGAAAGUGUGGGUAUCAAACAGGAUUAGAUACCCCAGUAGUC
Molecule: ribosomal RNA, 459 nt
Filed under: uncultured bacterium
Lineage: Bacteria
Description: partial 16S ribosomal RNA
Rfam family: Bacterial small subunit ribosomal RNA
Source: RNAcentral